CUAACGCAAUGUGAUUUCUGCC
RNAcentral lists this small nuclear RNA (22 nucleotides) under Arabidopsis thaliana (thale cress). RNAcentral describes it as "snRNA_00748". Lineage: Eukaryota; Viridiplantae; Streptophyta; Magnoliopsida; Brassicales; Brassicaceae. The record is from RNAcentral.